CGCUUCAGAUCUAUUGUUCAUCUUUCUUCCACCGUUUGCUCUUCUGAGUUUCUCAUUUUGUAACGCUUCUUGAUGCUUUUCUUUCUUCCAGUAUGAACAAUCUUCUCCUCCCUUCUCCAUUUUCUAUUCUUCUCCCCCGUGCCCCUUUCUUUUAUUGUUUCUAAUCUUCUUUUUCUACCUGAUUUUCUCUUCUCUGUUUCUUUCUUUUCACUUACCUACCUCUUUUUGAGAUUGGGGUUUUUUCAUAUCCGCUCUAUGUCAAUUCAUUUUUGUUUUUCCUUUCAAAAGGUUUCCAUUAUUCACCAUUUCGCAUCUUCAUUCGCUUUCUAACUCCAUUUAUAGAUUUCGAAUCCCUACAGGUGUUGUUACUGUUAGGAGCUUCAUUAACAUGCCAUUUCAGACCCUUACAUUAUGUUUUCCUUGCAUAAGGUUUUGCUCGCAAAUUCCAUCUUUUGGUGAUUACGAUGAAGACUUUGAGGUUUCUGAUUUCACCAACUGUACUAAUUAAUUUCAUGUUUUCUAUUACUUUCAUCAGAAUGGUCCAUCUUUAUUACCCUGGCUUUGAACAACCUUGGGUUUAGGAGUUUUCCACAAUUUAAAGCUUUUAGAUGAUGAGAUGGGGACUGAGAUUAGUUUAUACUCUCCUUCUUCAAGUUGAAAGAAAUCAUAAAUCAUGACUUCCCCAGGUGGUGCUUAUCGAAAACUCUUCACAGCUAGACAUGCUAAAGGCAUUGGUUAGAUAAGAAACUGGGAUAAAGGGAAUUCAAACAUGCUAUAACAUGCUCAAGGCAUUGGUUAGAGAAGAGCGUGGGUAUCAAGGGAAUUCAAACAUGUUAUAAGUGAUGGAGAAUUUGUAGGUAGAGACAUGGAUAUGCUAUUGCAAGGCCUCAGCCUCAACCUUUACCCGCCUGCAAUCCGCCCUCCGUUGUUUCCCACUUCCAGACCCGACACCAAGCUCUAAUUGGAUUCCGCUCUAUUUGAACUAAAGAGGUUCAUAACCGGAUGAAGAGUGUGAAGAAUAUCCAAAAAUCACCAAGGAAUGAAGAUGGUUGCUGCUCCCAAGCUACAAUUCAUAACCGGAUGAAGAGUGUGAAGAAUAUCCAAAAAAACACGAAGGAGUGAAGAUGGUUUCUGCUUCCAAGCUACAAGUAUGUUCUUUUUUUAUGAUCUAUAAACAAACUUAAAUUGCAGUCUCACCCCUUUCAGACUGUAGUGUUUUUUUUUAUAAAAUGUGAUCUACAUGGGAAUGAUUAAGCAGUGAUUUUGUGCAAGAGUAACACACAGUGAUGAAAUUAAUGGAGGAUUGGAAAAAAAAGACGGAUAGGGAGAAAGAUUGGAUUGCUUUACAAAGCAAUUCAGUUUAUAAGAAAUGUGAUAAUAAACCUGAUGAGACAAUGGCUUGGAAGGACAAUAGAUGAAGUGUGUUGUGUUCACAUCUCUUUAUCGGAGCCCUAAAAUUAUGAAACUGAAACCAUGUUUACUUUCAAGAGGUGCUGAAGCUUGAAACGUUUCUCAUGUUUGUCCUAUUGAAAGAGAUCAUAAUAUUAAAGUCCCAAGGAAAACUAAACAAAGAAAUUAAUGCUCUUCCCUGUCCAAAGACAGGAGAUGCAACACCACCCUAGGGGGAACAACAAGCUCAGUAAAUGGACAUUGCAGAGAUGCUCCCAAUCCCGCUAGACAAUCCGUCGGUUCAUUGCCCUCUUGAGGAACAUGAGUAAUAGAAACCUCCCAAGCCCUUGAGAGCAGCAACUGAAUUUCCAACAAAGCACUCAUGUAUCUGUGGAACUGGAACUUAUUCAACUUUUGUUUGAGUAGCUGAAAUAAUAAUUAAGAUUCUAAAAGAUUAUAUAUGAGUGCCAUUAACUAUCAGAUGAAGUGUAACAGCUACACGGAAUUGAUAAA
Lotus japonicus is the source of this 1902-nucleotide long non-coding RNA. RefSeq lists it as uncharacterized. The record is from RefSeq and is a predicted model, not a curated record. The transcript has 7 exons. Lineage: Eukaryota; Viridiplantae; Streptophyta; Magnoliopsida; Fabales; Fabaceae.